Molecule: ribosomal RNA, 397 nt
Filed under: uncultured eukaryote
Lineage: Eukaryota
Description: SSU rRNA
Rfam family: Eukaryotic small subunit ribosomal RNA
Source: RNAcentral
AGCUCCAAUAGCGUAUACUAAAGUUGUUGCAGUUAAAAAGCUCGUAGUUGGAUUUCUGCGUCGGGUGGGGCCGCCUGGUUUCCCUCAAGGGGCCGUGGUCGUGUCCCCCGCCUGCGCAUCCUGCCGCGAUCGGCGCUGCUCUUAGUUGAGCGGCGUUUCCCGGGACCGGCUCGUUUACUUUGAGAAAAAUAGAGUGUUCAAAGCAGGCCACCUCGCCUUGAAUAAGUUAGCAUGGAAUAAUGAUAAAGGACUUCGGUUCUAUUUUCGUUGGUUGCCGCGGACUGAAGUAAUGAUUGAUAGGGACAGUUGGGGGGCGUCAGUAUUCUGGAGCGAGAGGUGAAAUUCUUAGACCUCCGGAAGACUAACCGCUGCGAAAGCGUUCGCCAAGGAUGUUCCC